RNAcentral lists this long non-coding RNA (593 nucleotides) under Nicotiana tabacum (common tobacco). RNAcentral describes it as "long non-coding RNA (NTAB_LNC003834)". Lineage: Eukaryota; Viridiplantae; Streptophyta; Magnoliopsida; Solanales; Solanaceae. The record is from RNAcentral.
CUUGAGUAGCAGAGGUAGCAUCCAUAAAUUUCAUGUUCCAAUUCUACCUGCCAACAGAAAAAUUACCAUUACCAUCUCCAGGAAUUGAUUUCCCAUGUUCUAACCUUUCAGCCUUGAAACCUAGGUGGCAUGAACCACCAUCAACAACACAAUAUUGCCUUGAAAGUUCUCCAACAGCUCUGGCAGCUAGGCUUGCAUGUUCUCCAAAUUCAGCCGCUGCUUGAGCAGCAGACGUAGUAUCCUUAAAUUUCAUGUUCCAAUUCUGCUUGCCCAACAAAAAUAUUACCAUUACCAUCUCCAGAAAAUGCUUUCCCAUGUUCAAAACUUUCAUCGUUGAAACCUAAGUGGCAUGAACCACCAUCAUCAACAUAGUAUUGCCUUUAAAGUUCUCUAAUAGCUCUGGCAGCUAGGCUUGCAUGUUCUCCAAACUCAGCCGCUGCUUCAGCAGCAGAGGUAGCAUCCUUAAAUUUCAUGUUCCAAUACUACCUACCAAUAGAAAAAUUACCAUAACCAUCUCAUGGAAAUGAUUGUCCAUGUUCCAACCUUUCAUACUUGAAACAUAAGUGGCAUGAACCGCCAUCAUCAACACAAUA